RNAcentral lists this small RNA (97 nucleotides) under Oryza sativa Japonica Group (Japanese rice). RNAcentral's name for it is "sRNA Os04g0559950". Lineage: Eukaryota; Viridiplantae; Streptophyta; Magnoliopsida; Poales; Poaceae. The record is from RNAcentral.
UUUUUUUCUUGAAUACACAAGAGAGUUGCAUAUCAUUUCAUUAAGAGAGAAGAGGAAACACGGGAUGGGAGCUGAAACGCCCCCACUCACCACAAAC